Molecule: ribosomal RNA, 412 nt
Filed under: uncultured bacterium
Lineage: Bacteria
Description: bacterial SSU rRNA
Rfam family: Bacterial small subunit ribosomal RNA
Source: RNAcentral
GUAACACGUAUCCAACCUUCCCACUAACUCAGGGAUAGCCUUUCGAAAGAAAGAUUAAUACCUGAUAGUACUUUUUCUAAGGCAUCUUGAGAAAGUUAAAGAUUUAUUGGUUAUGGAUGGGGAUGCGUUCCAUUAGAUAGUUGGUGAGGUAACGGCUCACCAAGUCUUCGAUGGAUAGGGGUUCUGAGAGGAAGGUCCCCCACAUUGGUACUGAGACACGGACCAAACUCCUACGGGAGGCAGCAGUGAGGAAUAUUGGUCAAUGGGCGAGAGCCUGAACCAGCCAAGUAGCGUGAAGGAUGAAGGUCCUAUGGAUUGUAAACUUCUUUUAUAGUAGAAUAAAGUGAUCCACGUGUGGAUUUUUGUAUGUAUACUAUGAAUAAGGAUCGGCUAACUCCGUGCCAGCAGCCGC